UACGGAGGGGGCUAGCGUUGUUCGGAAUUACUGAGCGUAAAGCGCACGUAGGCGGCUUUGUAAGUUAGAGGUGAAAGCCCGGGGCUCAACUCCAGAACUGCCUUUAAGACUGCAUCGCUCGAAUUGUGGAGAGGUAAGUGGAAUUCCGAGUGUAGAGGUGAAAUUCGUAGAUAUUCGGAAGAACACCAGUGGCGAAGGCGACUUACUGGACACAUAUUGACGCUGAGGUGCGAAAGCGUGGGGAGCAAACAGG
Molecule: ribosomal RNA, 253 nt
Filed under: uncultured bacterium
Lineage: Bacteria
Description: partial 16S ribosomal RNA
Rfam family: Bacterial small subunit ribosomal RNA
Source: RNAcentral